This 72-nucleotide transfer RNA is filed under the name Ictidomys tridecemlineatus (thirteen-lined ground squirrel). Its description in RNAcentral is "Spermophilus tridecemlineatus (thirteen-lined ground squirrel) tRNA". It matches the Rfam family "tRNA". Rfam says of the family: Transfer RNA (tRNA) molecules are approximately 80 nucleotides in length. Their secondary structure includes four short double-helical elements and three loops (D, anti-codon, and T loops). Further hydrogen bonds mediate the characteristic L-shaped molecular structure. tRNAs have two regions of fundamental functional importance: the anti-codon, which is responsible for specific mRNA codon recognition, and the 3' end, to which the tRNAs corresponding amino acid is attached (by aminoacyl-tRNA synthetases). tRNAs cope with the degeneracy of the genetic code in two manners: having more than one tRNA (with a specific anti-codon) for a particular amino acid; and 'wobble' base-pairing, i.e. permitting non-standard base-pairing at the 3rd anti-codon position. The record is from Rfam by way of RNAcentral. Lineage: Eukaryota; Metazoa; Chordata; Mammalia; Rodentia; Sciuridae.
UUUGGUGUAGCUCAGUGUUAGAGUGUUUGCCUGAGCCUGUGUGAGGCCCUGGGUUCAAUCCCAGCACUGAAA